ACUCUAAGCGGUGGAUCACUCGGCUCAUGGGUCGAUGAAGAACGCAGCAAACUGUGCGUCAUCGUGUGAACUGCAGGACACAUGAACAUCGACAUUUUGAACGCAUAUCGCAGUCCAUGCUGUUAUGUACUUUAAUUAAUUUUAUAGUGCUGCUUGGACUACAUAUGGUUGAGGGUUGUAAGACUAUGCUAAUUAAGUUGCUUAUAAAUUUUUAUAAGCAUAUGGUAUAUUAUUGGAUAAAUAUAAUAAUUUUUAUUCAUAAUAUUAAAAAAUAAAUGAAAAACAUUAUCUCACAUUUGAAUGUGAAAAACGAAGAGAAAUAUUUUCUUUUUCAAUCAAAUAAUACUGAGAAAUGUCUAGCAUAAAAAAUUGAAAUAUUUUUCAUCUAGAAUUGUCUCUUAUUAAUGAUUCGGAAAUAGAAAAAUCUUGGUUAUGUUAUUAUUCUUCGUUGGUUCGUUAAAAAUGGAUAAAUAAAAACUUUGCAUACAAGAAUUAAUAAAAAUGUUAUAACGAAUUUAAUUAAAUGUUUUAUCAUUAUAUAUAAAGAAUUUAUGGCAAGAUAAAGUUAUAUACAACCUCAACUCAUAUGGGACUACCCCCUGAAUUUAAGCAUAUUAAUUAGGGGAGGAAAAGAAACUAACAAGGAUUUUCUUAGUAGCGGCGAGCGAAAAGAAAACAGUUCAGCACUAAGUCACUUUGUCUAUAUGGCAAAUGUGAGAUGCAGUGUAUGGAGCGUCAAUAUUCUAGUAUGAGAAAUUAACGAUUUAAGUCCUUCUUAAAUGAGGCCAUUUACCCAUAGAGGGUGCCAGGCCCGUAUAACGUUAAUGAUUACUAGAUGAUGUUUCCAAAGAGUCGUGUUGCUUGAUAGUGCAGCACUAAGUGGGUGGUAAACUCCAUCUAAAACUAAAUAUAACCAUGAGACCGAUAGUAAACAAGUACCGUGAGGGAAAGUUGAAAAGAACUCUGAAUAGAGAGUUAAACAGUACGUGAAACUGCUUAGAGGUUAAGCCCGAUGAACCUGAAUAUCCGUUAUGGAAAAUUCAUCAUUAAAAUUGUAAUAUUUAAAUAAUAUUAUGAGAAUAGUGUGCAUUUUUUCCAUAUAAGGACAUUGUAAUCUAUUAGCAUAUACCAAAUUUAUCAUAAAAUAUAACUUAUAGUUUAUUCCAAUUAAAUUGCUUGCAUUUUAACACAGAAUAAAUGUUAUUAAUUUGAUAAAGUGCUGAUAGAUUUAUAUGAUUACAGUGCGUUAAUUUUUCGGAAUUAUAUAAUGGCAUAAUUAUCAUUGAUUUUUGUGUUUAUUAUAUGCACUUGUAUGAUUAACAAUGCGAAAGAUUCAGGAUACCUUCGGGACCCGUCUUGAAACACGGACCAAGGAGUCUAACAUAUGUGCAAGUUAUUGGGAUAUAAACCUAAUAGCGUAAUUAACUUGACUAAUAAUGGGAUUAGUUUUUUAGCUAUUUAUAGCUAAUUAACACAAUCCCGGGGCGUUCUAUAUAGUUAUGUAUAAUGUAUAUUUAUAUUAUUUAUGCCUCUAACUGGAACGUACCUUGAGCAUAUAUGCUGUGACCCGAAAGAUGGUGAACUAUACUUGAUCAGGUUGAAGUCAGGGGAAACCCUGAUGGAAGACCGAAACAGUUCUGACGUGCAAAUCGAUUGUCAGAAUUGAGUAUAGGGGCGAAAGACCAAUCGAACCAUCUAGUAGCUGGUUCCUUCCGAAGUUUCCCUCAGGAUAGCUGGUGCAUUUUAAUAUUAUAUAAAAUAAUCUUAUCUGGUAAAGCGAAUGAUUAGAGGCCUUAGGGUCGAAACGAUCUUAACCUAUUCUCAAACUUUAAAUGGGUAAGAACCUUAACUUUCUUGAUAUGAAGUUCAAGGUUAUGAUAUAAUGUGCCCAGUGGGCCACUUUUGGUAAGCAGAACUGGCGCUGUGGGAUGAACCAAACGUAAUGUUACGGUGCCCAAAUUAACAACUCAUGCAGAUACCAUGAAAGGCGUUGGUUGCUUAAAACAGCAGGACGGUGAUCAUGGAAGUCGAAAUCCGCUAAGGAGUGUGUAACAACUCACCUGCCGAAGCAACUAGCCCUUAAAAUGGAUGGCGCUUAAGUUGUAUACCUAUACAUUACCGCUAAAGUAGAUGAUUUAUAUUACUUGUGAUAUAAAUUUUGAAACUUUAGUGAGUAGGAAGGUACAAUGGUAUGCGUAGAAGUGUUUGGCGUAAGCCUGCAUGGAGCUGCCAUUGGUACAGAUCUUGGUGGUAGUAGCAAAUAAUCGAAUGAGACCUUGGAGGACUGAAGUGGAGAAGGGUUUCGUGUGAACAGUGGUUGAUCACGAGUUAGUCGGUCCUAAGUUCAAGGCGAAAGCCGAAAAUUUUCAAGUAAAACAAAAAUGCCUAACUAUAUAAACAAAGCGAAUUAUAAUACACUUGAAUAAUUUUGAACGAAAGGGAAUACGGUUCCAAUUCCGUAACCUGUUGAGUAUCCGUUUGUUAUUAAAUAUGGGCCUCGUGCUCAUCCUGGCAACAGGAACGACCAUAAAGAAGCCGUCGAGAGAUAUCGGAAGAGUUUUCUUUUCUGUUUUAUAGCCGUACUACCAUGGAAGUCUUUCGCAGAGAGAUAUGGUAGAUGGGCUAGAAGAGCAUGACAUAUACUGUUGUGUCGAUAUUUUCUCCUCGGACCUUGAAAAUUUAUGGUGGGGACACGCAAACUUCUCAACAGGCCGUACCAAUAUCCGCAGCUGGUCUCCAAGGUGAAGAGUCUCUAGUCGAUAGAAUAAUGUAGGUAAGGGAAGUCGGCAAAUUAGAUCCGUAACUUCGGGAUAAGGAUUGGCUCUGAAGAUUGAGAUAGUCGGGCUUGAUUGGGAAACAAUAACAUGGUUUAUGUGCUCGUUCUGGGUAAAUAGAGUUUCUAGCAUUUAUGUUAGUUACUUGUUCCCCGGAUAGUUUAGUUACGUAGCCAAUUGUGGAACUUUCUUGCUAAAAUUUUUAAGAAUACUAUUUGGGUUAAACCAAUUAGUUCUUAUUAAUUAUAACGAUUAUCAAUUAACAAUCAAUUCAGAACUGGCACGGACUUGGGGAAUCCGACUGUCUAAUUAAAACAAAGCAUUGUGAUGGCCCUAGCGGGUGUUGACACAAUGUGAUUUCUGCCCAGUGCUCUGAAUGUCAAAGUGAAGAAAUUCAAGUAAGCGCGGGUCAACGGCGGGAGUAACUAUGACUCUCUUAAGGUAGCCAAAUGCCUCGUCAUCUAAUUAGUGACGCGCAUGAAUGGAUUAACGAGAUUCCUACUGUCC
This 3281-nucleotide ribosomal RNA is filed under the name Drosophila melanogaster (fruit fly). RNAcentral describes it as "eukaryotic LSU rRNA". The stretch from base 573 to 3281 matches the Rfam family "Eukaryotic large subunit ribosomal RNA", at positions 1 to 2344 of the family's 3401-position model. The record is from RNAcentral. Lineage: Eukaryota; Metazoa; Arthropoda; Insecta; Diptera; Drosophilidae.